Molecule: non-coding RNA, 468 nt
Organism: Pseudoliparis swirei
Lineage: Eukaryota; Metazoa; Chordata; Actinopteri; Perciformes; Liparidae
Source: the annotation of a RefSeq genome assembly
AUGAAAGAACAACAUGUGUUACGCAACAGUCAGAUUGUGGUUUAUGAGCUGCCAACUCUUAAAGUUUGGGCCUUCACUGAUGAUGAACUGAAGGCUUCCUUCUCCUGCGCUGCCAAAGAUUUUACACCAAAAGAUUUUGAGAUCAAAUGGCUGAAAAAUGACAAGGAAAUCACCAACAAGGUAUAUGAAAUCAAAACACAUACUCCUGAGGAAAGAAAGGAAAAUGGAACUACACUGUAAAGUGCAGCAAGUUUUCUCUCACUGCCAUCCAGUGAGUGGACUGAUAACACCGAGUUGACAUGUAAGUUUAAGGGGAAAGAUGUGGAGGUAAAGAUUGAAGGCCCCACAAUGGAGGAAAUGUUUGCAUCUAGAAAAGGAAAACUAAUAUGCAAUGUCAUGGUAAGAAAACCAUCCAUCGAUAAGAUGUUUUGGGAGAACCAACAUGGGACGAUGAUAAAUGAUACAUGA